RNAcentral lists this ribosomal RNA (253 nucleotides) under uncultured bacterium. RNAcentral describes it as "partial 16S ribosomal RNA". It matches the Rfam family "Bacterial small subunit ribosomal RNA", at positions 524 to 776 of the family's 1533-position model. The record is from RNAcentral.
UACGAGGGCCCCGAGCGUUAUCCGGAUUUAUUGGGCGUAAAGCGUUACAAGGCGGUUUGGUAAGUCUCCGGUUAAAGCUGAAAGCUCAACUUUCAGAUGGCUGGAGAAACUACCAAACUUGAGAUCGGAAGGGGCAGAUGGAAUUGCCGGUGUAGUAGUGAAAUGCGUUCAUAUCGGCAAGAACACCAAAAGCGAAAGCAGUCUGCUAGGACGAUUCUGACGCUGACUAACGAAAGCGUGGGGAGCGAAUGGG